CAGAUGUAGUUCAAUGGUAGAAUUUCAGCUUCCCAAGCUGACUACGCGGGUUCGAUUCCCGUCAUCUG
This 68-nucleotide transfer RNA is filed under the name human gut metagenome. It matches the Rfam family "tRNA". From Rfam's summary of the family: Transfer RNA (tRNA) molecules are approximately 80 nucleotides in length. Their secondary structure includes four short double-helical elements and three loops (D, anti-codon, and T loops). The record is from RNAcentral.